Molecule: long non-coding RNA, 2919 nt
Organism: Triticum dicoccoides
Lineage: Eukaryota; Viridiplantae; Streptophyta; Magnoliopsida; Poales; Poaceae
Exons: 4
Source: RefSeq, a predicted model, not a curated record
UCGAACCCUCGCCUUUGCCCUUGCCGAGCCCUCGCCGCCGCCACACCUCAGCCCCCUCGCCGCCACGGCAGCACCUCAGCCCGCUCGCUGCCGCGUUCGCGCGUCAGCCCGCUGGACAUCCCCGCCUCCGCGGUCGCACCUCUGCCCGCUCGCUGCCCCCAUUGCAACCCAACGCCCCCCUCCAAUGGAUGCCGCCCGAACUACCUCAUCCAAUAGGACGCCGGCCGCGGCGUCACGAAGUUGCUGGCGUCGCCCAGUUCGCCGUGGGUGAAGGCGCCUCAGACGCAAGCGAAGCUGGAGCUUCCUCAACGUAUGCCUCACCAUGGGGCUCGCUGUGCUGUUGGCGGACAGCCGCGGCCCUGCUGGUGUGGUGCGAGACUUCCAGAUCACCCGACGGCUGGGGUUGGAGGAUGGCAUUCCCACAACUCCUCAUCGGGGGUGAGCGUGGCAUGGAGCAGCAAGCCCAUAGCUCCCUCAACCAUCAUGCUAAUCUCUUCUUGUUAUUCAUCCUGAAUCUAUGGUGCACAUACAGUACAUGCUUAUGUAUUGUCUCAAUGAUUAUCCUAUUUUUUUAGGAUUCAACUUGCGUUUUGUGCAAUUUCAUACACUCAAUCAAUAAAUUCUCAGUUUUUUUGGCGGGAUUUGUGUUUGUUCGGAUGCUUAGGUGCAGCUGCAUCAAGGGAAUUGGCCGACGGCGUGCAAUACAUAGACAAAGUAAAAGUCAGUAUGGAGCAAAUACGAGUUCGGUUGCUCUUCUGACAAUUUCACUUUGAUUUUGUUGUUAGUGACUGAUUGAGGCGUCACUCCCACCACGGUGGUGACGGCAACCUUGCCCCUCCAGCCGCUGUGGCCGUAGCGUACCGCUCCAACGCCAUCUGACACAACCGUCUUGUGGUGGAGGAGGGCCACCUCGAACACAUUGGGGAGGGGUGAGCGUGGGCUUCGCCACAUGUUCUGCCGAGUCAUCGAUGUCAGUUUCUAGGUUUGUGAGUGCACUGUCUGGUGCUUCUUUUUAUGAUGUCUGUCAACACAAGCACAGCGUGUUCCAAGUAUGAACUAAGAGAGUGUGCUCCCAUUGGGUUCUGCAUGUGGACACUGUGGCUGGUGAGGCAUAACUGGAAGUUUCUCUGAUGGUCGACAACAAGGAUCACUGCACAACAGGCUUUGGAGCAGGCUCUGAUUCACGGAGAACUCCCCAGCAACCUCAUCUUUUGUGGAUAUUAGAUGGAUAUUGAAUCCAGUAAGCCUCCAAUUGAUAAACAAAGUCAAUUUUCUGUUGGUAGUUUGCAUGACAGGGUUCUAGCUAAUUUAUGAUUGUGCCUACAACAGACUACCUCUGCCUGAAGAUUUGAGGUGUGACUCAAAUUUCGUGCUGUUAGAAAUCAACAAUGGAGAUUUCAGUUUUUUUUCAUGUAUAUUCGUACGGAUUUCAAGUUUAAUGAAUCAUUAAAUUUUAUUCUAUAAUCAGAUCUUGGCAUGUUUUCAGAUUUUUCAGAGAAGAAGUCUAGAGGCGUGGAUGUAUGUUUUUAGGGGGGAAUCAAGUCUGCAGAAUAUACACUAAUUUGAGGAAUUCAGAUGUUACCCAUGGUCAUACAGGGAAAGUGUGAAGCAAUCUGGCCAAUUUUCAGCAUUUCUCAUCCAAGAAGCCGUUACAUUUAUGAUCUUUUCUAUAGAAGAAGGAAGGAUAUAUCUAAGGAGCUGUAUGAAUUUUGCCUGGACCAGGAUUAUGCAGACCGUAAUCUCAUUACAAAGUGGAAAAAUGUUGCCUCAGUUUUGUAUCAUUUGAGCUAGGGGCCAAGACGGAUGAGGUUGAUUUGGCUUGAUCAUGCCAAAGAAAUUUACUUCUUUUUUGGAAAAUGAAAGAAUGUUUUAGAAGUUCAGGGUUAAGUUACCAAAUCUGAGCUUUAUAGCAAAGCAGAUGAUCAAGAAGAGCAGAGUAGGAUAAUAAAGGUUCACAUAGAUGUAGUAAUAUGUUACUAUCAGCUAGCUCAAGUAUGUAUGACUGUAGGAGCUCAGGAAUACUCUUACUAUGUCUUUGAUUUUGUUAAAGACCCAAUAUAUGAUGAGGUGCUGCCUCUCCUGAUGCCGAGCUAUUUAGAAUUUGGUAUUUCACAUUUUUUUUCUGGCCAGUAAAUUUCACAAACAUAACUGGAGGCCAUCUGCUCCUGCGCAAUGAAACUGUUUCAAAAUUCAUAUUGUGUUUGACACCCUGAACCACUUUAUUAGAUAACAGAUUAUAACUUCCACUUAUUUUUUAUGCUGGACCAUGAUGAAUCAACAAUUUAUUAGAUAAAAAAAUUAAUCCCUGGAGAAAAUCAGAGUAUUUAUCGACUAUAUAUGCUCUAUGGAUGUCGACAAAUUUGAUUGUAGGGGCUAGCAAUGCUUCAUUUCAAGCUACUGUAAUAACUCUUGCUGGUUAGUUACCUCUGAUCCUAGCAAGUGAAAUUAGAACUAAUACAUGUAUAUGAUUGUUGUUUGAGUCGCACAGAUUGGCACAUGUAUGAAUAAGUUUCAGUAUUAGAUUAGUGUACUGAUCAUGGCUAUGUUGUGGAAGAGUUCUUGCACGCAGUGUUCGAAAGUAGCAUACUUCCGUUCUCUGUAAAUUGGUACUAGAUAAAAAGGAUGUUCCAUUUUCUGUAAAUUGAUAGAAAAUGGAUGCAGGUGUGACCUUGGGGAAGAAAGAGUCGGACGACACAUAAAAGACUGUGAGGACCAGGGAUUCUUCUUUGCUGGUGGUAAGGUGGAGACCCUGCUCAGGGAACAUGUUGCGUACAUCCUCGCUGCUUUUCUUCUUUCAGUUUUAGAUACUUUCCAGCAGCGAAGCACAAACGUCCCGCGGUGCAACACACAUACUCUUUUGUUAUUGGAUAUAAUAAAUGGUGCUUAAUGAUAUUACGUUGUAUCGCCUUUUUUUGCCCG